UACGUAGGUUACAAGCGUUGUCCGGAUUUACUGGGCGUAAAGAGCGCGCAGGCGGUCGUUCAAGUCGCGUGUGAAAGCCCCGGCUCAACUGGGGAGGGUCACGCGAUACUGAUCGACUGGAAGGCAGGAGAGGGUAGUGGAAUUCCCGGUGUAGUGGUGAAAUGCGUAGAUAUCGUAAGGAAGACCAGUGGCGAAGGCGGGUCUCUGGACAGUUCCUGACGCUGAGGCACGAAGGCCAGGGGAGCAAACGGG
RNAcentral lists this ribosomal RNA (252 nucleotides) under uncultured bacterium. Its description in RNAcentral is "partial 16S ribosomal RNA". It matches the Rfam family "Bacterial small subunit ribosomal RNA", at positions 524 to 776 of the family's 1533-position model. The record is from RNAcentral.